UGGUGGGUAGUUUGACUGGGGCGGUCUCCUCCCAAAGCGUAACGGAGGAGCACGAAGGUUAGCUAAUCCUGGUCGGACAUCAGGAGGUUAGUGCAAUGGCAUAAGCUAGCUUGACUGCGAGCGUGACGGCGCGAGCAGGUGCGAAAGCAGGUCAUAGUGAUCCGGUGGUUCUGAAUGGAAGGGCCAUCGCUCAACGGAUAAAAGGUACUCCGGGGAUAACAGGCUGAUACCGCCCAAGAGUUCAUAUCGACGGCGGUGUUUGGCACCUCGAUGUCGGCUCAUCACAUCCUGGGGCUGAAGUAGGUCCCAAGGGUAUGGCUGUUCGCCAUUUAAAGUGGUACGCGAGCUGGGUUUAGAACGUCGUGAGACAGUUCGGUCCCUAUCUGCCGUGGGCGCUGGAGAAUUGAGGGGGGCUGCUCCUAGUACGAGAGGACCGGAGUGGACGCAUCACUGGUGUUCGGGUUGUCAUGCCAAUGGCACUGCCCGGUAGCUAAAUGCGGAAGAGAUAAGUGCUGAAAGCAUCUAAGCACGAAA
Molecule: ribosomal RNA, 534 nt
Filed under: Klebsiella pneumoniae
Lineage: Bacteria; Pseudomonadati; Pseudomonadota; Gammaproteobacteria; Enterobacterales; Enterobacteriaceae
Description: partial 23S ribosomal RNA
Rfam family: Bacterial large subunit ribosomal RNA
Source: RNAcentral